GGUAGGAUGGCUGAAUUGAAAGGUAAUAGACUGUAAAUCUAUUUAUGGGAAUUUUUCUCUCCUAUCA
RNAcentral lists this transfer RNA (67 nucleotides) under Hilethera xinjiangensis. Its description in RNAcentral is "tRNA-Tyr". It matches the Rfam family "tRNA". From Rfam's summary of the family: Transfer RNA (tRNA) molecules are approximately 80 nucleotides in length. Their secondary structure includes four short double-helical elements and three loops (D, anti-codon, and T loops). The record is from RNAcentral. Lineage: Eukaryota; Metazoa; Arthropoda; Insecta; Orthoptera; Acrididae.